This 315-nucleotide long non-coding RNA is filed under the name Lathyrus oleraceus (garden pea). Its description in RNAcentral is "Pisum sativum (pea) long non-coding RNA (PSAT_LNC020717)". The record is from RNAcentral. Lineage: Eukaryota; Viridiplantae; Streptophyta; Magnoliopsida; Fabales; Fabaceae.
UUCUUUUCUUUUUUUUUCUUUUUUUCUUUUUAUUAUUUUUUUUAAGCAGGAUCAACCUCGGAUUCCUCUCUGACAAUAAACCCCAACAGCUUACCGGAUCGCACUCUGAUAGUGCACUCACUUGAAUUCAACCUCAGUUUGAAUUGUCUCAACCGGUCAAACGACUUGCCCCGGUCUGCCAGAUGCCCCUCUCCUGUUCGGGACUUUGCUAUCAUGUCAUAGCAUAGCAUUCAUUUUCAUGAUGAAUCACAUCAUGGAACAAAGUCACCAUGGCUCUCUGAUACAGGCACUGGCGUUCUGCUUCUUUAGAGGACA